GGAUGAGCCCGCGGCCUAUCAGCUUGUUGGUGGGGUAAUGGCCUACCAAGGCGGCGACGGGUAGCCGGCCUGAGAGGGUGUACGGCCACAUUGGGACUGAGAUACGGCCCAGACUCCUACGGGAGGCAGCAGUGGGGAAUAUUGCACAAUGGGCGCAAGCCUGAUGCAGCGACGCCGCGUGGGGGAUGAAGGCCUUCGGGUUGUAAACUCCUUUCGCUAGGGACGAAGCUUUGUUGUGACGGUACCUAGAUAAGAAGCACCGGCUAACUACGUGCCAGCAGCCGCGGUAAUACGUAGGGUGCGAGCGUUGUCCGGAAUUACUGGGCGUAAAGGGCUCGUAGGUGGUUUGUCGCGUCGUCUGUGAAAUUCUGGGGCUUAACUCCGGGCGUGCAGGCGAUACGGGCACAACUUGAGUGCUGUAGGGGUAACUGGAAUUCCUGGUGUAGCGGUGAAAUGCGCAGAUAU
Molecule: ribosomal RNA, 465 nt
Filed under: uncultured bacterium
Lineage: Bacteria
Description: bacterial SSU rRNA
Rfam family: Bacterial small subunit ribosomal RNA
Source: RNAcentral